GCCCGGGGCCGCCUCCGCCUCCGCCGCCGCCGCCGCGCCUGCCGCUGCCAAACCCCUCCCACCCGGGCCCCGCGGCGAUGACUGGGCCACCCCCUGGCCUUCCUUCUCUCAGCCCUCAGGUCCCGAGAGCCCCGGCCCAGAGCGGCCUCUGCUGGACAGUCAAGACACGAGACCCUGGGUUCAGCAAAUGUUUGCAGCGCCUUGCACUGUGCUGGGAACUAGGGAUGCAAAGAAAUGUGAGCACAUCUCUGCCCUUAGGAAUCUAGCUCAGCUUUUCCUACAUGAGCUUACAGCCUUUAAAAAGGUGACCUUAUGCCAUUUUAGGAGUUCCCUCGGAGAACCGGCACAUGUUCCAAGAAUGAGGACCUUCUUCAUUUGUCAAAACACUUCUGCGUGUACAUCAUUAAACCCUCAUCCACAUUAAACCCGGCUGAGCUUCCUGGGGCCCGAACCAGGAUGUCUGCCGCUGCAUUCAGCUUCUUACUAGAAGAAAAUACUGUCGGGGGGAUAACUAAGCCAGACACCCUACUAGGCGUUGUUUCAUGAAUCCUUCUAAGAAUUAUUAUUAUUCCAUUUUACAGGUGAGAAAAUGAAGGCACAGAGAAGACAAUGUUCUCAAGGUCGCAUAACUGGUCUUUGGAUCAACUCUUUCAACCAAUUGCCAGUUGGAAAAUCUUUGAAUUCACCUAUGACCUGGAAGCUCCUAGUUUGAGUUGUCCUGCUUUUCCGGACCAAAACAAUGUACGUCUUACAUGUAUUGACUGAUGUCUUCUGUCUCCCUAAAACAUAUGAAACCAAGUCGUGUCCUGAACUACUUUGGGCACAUGCUCUCAGGAUCUCCUGAGGCUGUGUCAUGGACAUGUCCCUAACCUUGGCAAAAUAAACUUCUAAACUGAUGAAGACUUGUCUCAAAUACCUUUUGGUUUACAGCCCUGACAAUAUUUCGGGAAGGAAGAAACUCCUUCUUGGAUGUGACGCACAUAAUGAAAUCUUCUAUUUAAACUAGUGUAAAACUUAAUUGAGUUGAUCCAGUACUAUCCAAUAGAAAUAAAUUACAAGCCAUAUAGAAAUUUAAAAAUUUCUAGUAGACACAUUUUAAAAAAGUAAAACUAAGUUAUAUUAAUUUUAAUAAUAUGCUUUAAUGUAUCUAAAAUAUUAUUUUGACAGGUAAUAAAUAUAAAAAAUUGAGAUAUUUUACAUUAAAAAAAUUCAAAAUCUUCAAAUUCUAGUGUAUAUUUUAUACUUGUAGGAAAUCACAGUUCUGACAUGAAUUCAUCUCAAUUUCGAAUGUUCAAAAGCCAAACGUGGCUAGUAGCAAUCAUAAUGGACAGUGCAGUUUUAGAACCUGGACCUAGUCUUUUGCCAUGCCUCUGAAUAUGUUCUAUAAAAGUAAGAAACAGUGCUACUGAGGCUUUCUCAACUGACAGUACUGUGUAGUGGUUGAAAGCUUGAAACUUGCUGAUUGCAUGGACUGAGGCAACUUACUUAACCCCUCUAACCCUCAGUUUCCCAAUUUGUGAAAUGGAGAUGAUAAUAAUAAUCCAUUACUUCAAAGCGUUGUUUUAAGUAUUAAAUGCAUGGAAAUUAUUUGGAGUUGAACCUAGACAGAGUAGACUCUUAACAAAUAUUUGCUGUUAUUUUUGGUAGAAAUGAUUAUGAUGUUGAAAAAUUGUUAUUAACAGUAAAAUCAGACUGGACAUGGUGGCUCAUGUCUGUAAUCCCAGCCCUUUGGGAGGCCAAGGUGGGAGGACUACUUGAGCCCAGGAGUUCAAGACCAGCCUGGGCAACAGAGGGAGACCCUGACUCUACAAAACACAAAAAAAUUAGUCAGGUGUGGUGAUAUGUGCUGUGGUUCUAGUUACUCAGAAGGCUGAGAUGAGAGAAACACUUGAGUCCAGGAGGCUGAGGCUGCAGUGACCUGUGAUAGUGCUACUGCACUCCAGCCUUGACAACAGAGUGAGUACCUGUCUGAGGUGGGUGGAUCACGAGGUCAGGAGAUCCAGACCAUCCUGGCUAACACAGUGAAGCUCCAUCUCUACUAAAAAUACAAAAAAAAAAAAAAGUAGCCGGGCAUGGUGGCAGGCGCCUGUAGUCCCAGCUACUCGGGAGGCUGAGGCAGGAGAAUGGGGUGAACCCAGGAAGGGGAGCUUGCAGUGAGUCAAGAUCGCACCAGUGCACUCCAGUCUGGGUGACAGAGCGAGACUCCGUCUCAAAAAUAAAUAAAUAAAUAAAUAAAUUAAUUAAUUAAAUAAAAAUAAAAAUUAGUAAAUAAAAAAAAAUAGUAAAAUCAUGCCAAAUAUUUCUGUAAUAUUUGGAAGAAUUAGAUUCCUUACUACUCAAAGACACUGACAAUGUCCCUUAUCCUUAGAAAAUUUACAUAUGCAUAGUUUAGAGUAGCGUUUCUCAACCUUUUUGGUCUUAGGAUCCCUUUAUACCCCUAACACUUAUUAAGAACCUGCCCUCCCACUCCUGGCCAAACUGUUUAUUUAGGUUGAAGGAACAUUUUAAGAUCCCCUUCAGAUAAUUGUGAUCUGUCCUCUUUUAUACUACAUGAAUACUCAACAAGCAGUAGUUUCUUAAAAGUUUGGUGCAAUACAGAAUCCAAAAGCAUUUCAGUGUAAUUUUCAUAUUCUGUCAAAUUAAAAUCCAUUGAUCUAUCUUAUAUCUUGAAUAUAUCUUUUAUCCCUGCAUGAUUUUAUAUCAUAAUGCAUUGGUCACAUAGAAAAUAUUGGUUCACCAAGUUCAUUCAAAUUUUAACGUAUUUCGUUAUACAAUAUCAAAAAGUCACAUUUGUUAACAUCUUCACCUAUAUCAUCAGAAAAAUCUUUAAUCGUUGGAAACCAUCAAACUAAUAGUAAAAAAUACAAGUUUCCCAGAAUUCUGAUAUUCCCUUGAAAGCUUGAAUCUUAUUGGUACCAAAUAAUGUCAAUUAUUUUAUUUCCUUCCUUCCUUCCUACCGUCUUUCCUUCCUUUCUUCCUUCCUUCCUUCCUUCCUUCCUUCCCUCCUUCCUUCCUUCUUUCCUUCUCUUCUUCCUUUCUUUUGUUUGUUUUUAUUUUUCUUUUUAUUUUUUUUGAGACAGGGUCUUGCUCUGUCUCCCAGGAUCCAGGAUGGAGUGCAGUGGCAUGAUCAUGGCUCACUGUAGCCUCGAACUUCCUGCUUCAGCCUCCUGAGUAGCUGGAACUACAGGUGUGUAUCAUCAUGCCUAGCUAAUUUUUUUUUUUAAUGUUUUAUAGGGAUGGGGUCUCUGUGUGCUGCCCAGGCUGGUCUUGAAUUCCUGGGCUCGAGCAAUCCUUCAGACUCAGCCUCCCAAAGUGCUGGGAUUACAGGUGUGAGUCACUGCACCUGGCCAAAUUUGUUUUGUUUGACAUGACAUGCUAACUUCAUAGAGAAAAUGUCUCACAAAUACUGAAGCCUAAAUAACCAUAGUUUGUCUGUUAAUAAUGUUUUCAAAUGAAAAUAGUGUUUCAUAAAAAAGUGGCUAGGUUAGCUUUCAAUUCAUCACAUACAUACAUUUCCUUGGAACAACCACUUACUUUGGUAUUCAGCAAAAAUGCUUUAUGCAUACUUUUCAUUCAUUUAUAUGAAAAAGAUGUGUGUUCAAGAUCAAGAUUUUAUAAAAAUUAAGAAUUUUUGCUGCUUCAUUAAGGACAUUCAUAAGGACAUGAAUGGUGGUAAUACAAUGACUACUAGUAUAGUUUGGUGCCACUGCCUACAUUUGUGUUAAAGCACCAGAAGUUUUAUCCACAAUUGCUUUUGUAGCAUCAAUGGAAAAAUCAAAAUGCAAAAAAAGAGAUAAAUAACAUCUUAGUAAUAUUAUGAAAAUAGCUUUGACUCCACAGAUGUAAAAGGAUCAGACUCCUAGGAGUUUGUGAACCACACUUUGAGAACUGCUGGCCUAGAGAAAUAUCUUAGAAAAUUGUGAAGGACAUUAACUGUUUCAACUGCCUAGAGUAUCCCUUUCUUCAGGUAAGUGUUCUUUCCUCUGCUUUAAGCAACUAGUUUCAAUGGCGGUGGCUAUUUUCCUAUGGAGGCUGCCUCCUACCCUAUGGGUGACUGGUAUAGGGUAGACACCAGCCUCUUUAUAUUCAGUAUACUUUCUCAGAAUUCUUAAACUUGGAACCAGAAAAUGUCACUAAUAGUUGCUCUCUGGGAACAAAGUUAUGAAGUUCUGGCAUUUUGGUGAACCACCCAAGCAUGUAGAAAAAGCUAGUCUAAAAUAGGAUAGAUAAACCCAACUCUCAGAGAGAACCAGAAAUGGGAGAAGGCUUGGUAGCAUUCCAGUCCCUGGUUCCACUUGUCCUUGAGGCUCGACCACAUUCUUGCCCUUCCUGCUACUCUGUAAGCAUUUUGAUAAAUUUCCCUUGCCUCUAAACACUUUAUAUUUUCACAAACUUUAUGAGUUUGUCCAACUGUCUUUUUUUCUGAACACUUUUGCUAGCAUCAGUUGUUACACAGUUUAGUAGAUUCCACUUCAGAUUACGCUGAAUUUGAGUUUUCUCGACUUUGAAAAUAUUCUUGACUGCAGUUUUACUCAGACCAUUCAUAGAGGCUAUGAAUUCAUGUUAUUCACUUCAAAGUCAGUAUUAAAUUAUCAAAUAAACAUCAACAACUGAAUAGUGUUUGGUAACAACUGUCAACUCAUCAAGAGCCAAAGAAAAACACUAGAAAUUAUUUUCCUUCUUUCUUAAUUUAUCCAAAAUUGACUCCCAACAUCCUCAACUUAUUAAGCAACUGUUCUCACAGAAAGAUUAAUAAUCUAAACAAGUUUACUUUCUUUGUACAUCUUUUUUUUGCUGUUAUUGUUGCUACAAUUGAAUAAAAUAUAAUUAACUUGCACCUGGUAAAUGGCUUUUCUUGCUUGACUAAAAACCAAACUACUUGGAAACUUACUUUGGUUGAAGAUUCAUUUCAGACUUUUGUGGGAAAAAUCUACUGAGAUAUUUUGUUUUGAAGUUUCAAAUUUUUCUGACUCAGGGAGUAUUGUACAUCAAAGAUAGUGUGGCAAUUAUUUAGUCUGGUACUGUAGACCUAUGUUGUAUUCUUCUAAAGUAGCAAUGACAUAAUAACAUGUAUAAAACACAAUGCUUACAAUUGAUUUAGAUAACAAAAUAAUCUACUUUCCAUUCUAUUUUUAAAAUGUGAUAUUCAAAAUCUGUUUUUCUCUUCAUUUUCUUGUUUGUUUUAUUUUGGCAAGAUGCGUAUGCAAUAACAAUAAAAAAAUAAGAUAAAACGCAGUGGUAUGUGCUGAAUGUGUCCUCUAAAGAGCAUGUAUUGAAAUUUCAAUUCUUAAUGCAUUGUGUUGGGAGAUGGGGCUUAAUGAGAGAUGAUUAGGCCAGGGGGGUGAAGUGAAUGAAGUAAUAUUAUUAUCAUGAGAGUAGGUUUGAUAUAAAAGAUCAACCCCUUUCUCUCUGUUGUGCCCACCUUUGCCCUUAGCCGUGAGAUGACACAACAAGAAGGCCUUCACACAAUGCCAGCCCCUUGAUCUUGGCCUAAGUCUCCAGAAACAUGUGCUAAUAAAUUCAUGCUC
Molecule: long non-coding RNA, 5528 nt
Filed under: Homo sapiens (human)
Lineage: Eukaryota; Metazoa; Chordata; Mammalia; Primates; Hominidae
Description: HSALNT0320299
Source: RNAcentral